Molecule: ribosomal RNA, 253 nt
Filed under: uncultured bacterium
Lineage: Bacteria
Description: partial 16S ribosomal RNA
Rfam family: Bacterial small subunit ribosomal RNA
Source: RNAcentral
UACAGAGGUCUCAACCGUUGUUCGGAUUUAUUGGGCGUAAAGGGUGCGUAGGCGGCGGGGCAAGUCAGGUGUGAAAUCUCGGGGCUCAACCCCGAAACUGCACUUGAUACUGCCUUGCUCGAGUACUGGAGAGGAGACUGGAAUUUACGGUGUAGCAGUGAAAUGCGUAGAUAUCGUAAGGAAGACCAGUGGCGAAGGCGAGUCUCUGGACAGUUACUGACGCUGAGGCACGAAGGCCAGGGGAGCAAACGGG